This is a non-coding RNA of Gammaproteobacteria bacterium RIFCSPLOWO2_12_47_11, 71 nucleotides long. The record is from Rfam. Lineage: Bacteria; Pseudomonadati; Pseudomonadota; Gammaproteobacteria.
UGGGGGAUCGUCUAACGGUAGGACAGCGGACUCUGACUCCGCCAGUCUAGGUUCAAAUCCUAGUCCCCCAG